Molecule: long non-coding RNA, 691 nt
Filed under: Spirodela polyrhiza (greater duckweed)
Lineage: Eukaryota; Viridiplantae; Streptophyta; Magnoliopsida; Alismatales; Araceae
Description: long non-coding RNA (SPOL_LNC001549)
Source: RNAcentral
CGGAUGUCUCUCAAUGCCUUAGUUCUUGUUCUACAUCAAUUGCUUAUAGGGGGCAUGCAUAUGGCCUCCUUAUUUUCCAUGAUUACUGCAAAAUCGUUGAUGAAGUCAACGGCUAAUAGUGUUCGUCAACCUUCUUGCAGGGAAAGCGCAGCAGCUUCCCCCUCGAGGUCUUCUCUUCGCAUCAAAGCACUGCAUCCAUCGCCUACUCUUCAAGAGGAGAGCCCGGCCUUCAAAGGGCUCCAGAAGGCACCCUGUAAGAAGAAAACACGAGAACACUGUAUAAAGAGGUCAUCUUUUCCCCUAUGCACCAUCAUUAUUUUAUUUUCUCGUCGUCCUUUAUUGGCUAUUUCUCAUUGAGUAGCGAAGCAUGGAAGGGGAGGUGGGAAGAACAAUCUAGCCUAGGAAGAUACCAAUUCGAAAUCAGGACAUCUCCUUUUGGAAAAAAAAAAGAAAACAUUGCAUAAAGUAAACCCUUCAGCUAGAAAUUUGAACAGCCUCCACCGAUCUUUGGUUUCCAUGGCCUUUGACCAUGAAGAAGGCAUAGGUUGACCUUGGGAAUGACGGCCACUAGUUGAGGUGACGGCCACUAGUUGAGAGGAAGAGAAUAUCUCAGGUCACACUGGGGAAGACUCGCCUGGGCACUUGCAGUAGUAGGAGCAGCAGCAGCGAAGGAAGAUGGAGAGCAGGGGGG